GCCUUUUCUGAUAAAAGGGUUUAUACUCAUUUCAUAUUUUUUUCUUAUAAAAGUAUUUUUUAGGAUAAGUUUUGACAUUUGAACCCUUCAUAACCUUUGGUCCAUAGGUCUUGGGUUCCACUUUAUUUAGAACCUUUGACUUGGGAUUUUUAGGUUAUGGAUUCUUAAGAACCUUUGAUUUUUGAAUGUUAGGUUAUGAUUUCUUCAAUAUCUUUGAUUUUGACAUCUUAG
This 231-nucleotide long non-coding RNA is filed under the name Lathyrus oleraceus (garden pea). Its description in RNAcentral is "Pisum sativum (pea) long non-coding RNA (PSAT_LNC001855)". The record is from RNAcentral. Lineage: Eukaryota; Viridiplantae; Streptophyta; Magnoliopsida; Fabales; Fabaceae.